GGUAAAAGAUUAAUCGCCUAGAGAGGGGCUUGCGUCUGAUUAGCUAGUUGGUGAGGUAAGAGCCCACCAAGGCGACGAUCAGUAGCUGGUCUGAGAGGAUGAUCAGCCACACUGGGACUGAGACACGGCCCAGACUCCUACGGGAGGCAGCAGUGGGGAAUUUUCCGCAAUGGGCGAAAGCCUGACGGAGCAAGACCGCGUGGGGGAGGAAGGUUCUUGGAUUGUCAACCCCUUUUCUCAGGGAAGAACACAAUGACGGUACCUGAGGAAAAAGCAUCGGCUAACUCCGUGCCAGCAGCCGCGGUAAUACGGGGGAUGCAAGCGUUAUCCGGAAUGAUUGGGCGUAAAGAGUCCGUAGGUAGUCAUCCAAGUCUGCUGUUAAAGAGCGAGGCUUAACCUCGUAAAGGCAGUGGAAACUGGAAGACUAGAGUGUAGUAGGGGCAGAGGGAAUUCCUGGUGUAGCGGUGAAAUGCGUAGAGAUCAGGAAGAACACCGGUGG
This 499-nucleotide ribosomal RNA is filed under the name Planktothrix agardhii 7JL33S2. Its description in RNAcentral is "bacterial SSU rRNA". It matches the Rfam family "Bacterial small subunit ribosomal RNA", at positions 199 to 715 of the family's 1533-position model. Lineage: Bacteria; Bacillati; Cyanobacteriota; Cyanophyceae; Oscillatoriales; Microcoleaceae. The record is from RNAcentral.